GUUGAAGGUUCUUUUGUAUCAGAAGGAUUACAUCAUAAACAUGUUCACAUAUUUUGUAUACCAUCUAUACCCUUUAUUUCAUUUACCCUCCUCUCCCACUCAUCAUUUAUGUAACCCCACCCCCCAUACAAAUUGCAAACUGUCCUUGUAAUGUCCCCCUUAUCUGAUACCUAUCAGGUCAGGUGUGGGGUGGGGCACAGGCAAACCUUUAAACAAAAAUGUCCUGGUUAGUCACCAUCUCAUUUGUUGUGAC
Molecule: long non-coding RNA, 253 nt
Organism: Octopus sinensis (East Asian common octopus)
Lineage: Eukaryota; Metazoa; Mollusca; Cephalopoda; Octopoda; Octopodidae
Exons: 3
Source: RefSeq, a predicted model, not a curated record